RNAcentral lists this ribosomal RNA (226 nucleotides) under uncultured bacterium. RNAcentral describes it as "partial 16S ribosomal RNA". It matches the Rfam family "Bacterial small subunit ribosomal RNA", at positions 112 to 334 of the family's 1533-position model. The record is from RNAcentral.
AACACGUAGGUGAUCUAUCUUUGGAUCUGGGAUAGCCUGUGGAAACACAGAGUAAUACCUGAUACGACCUUAUGGCUAAGUCCGUAAGGGGAAAGUCGCUUAGGCGACGUCCAAAGCUGAGCCUGCGGCUCAUUAGCUAGUUGGUAGGGUAAUGGCCUACCAAGGCGACGAUGAGUAGCCGGCCUGAGAGGGUGAUCGGCCACACUGGGACUGAGACACGGCCCAG